Molecule: ribosomal RNA, 829 nt
Filed under: uncultured bacterium
Lineage: Bacteria
Description: bacterial SSU rRNA
Rfam family: Bacterial small subunit ribosomal RNA
Source: RNAcentral
CGUCAAUUCAUUUGAGUUUGAUCUGGCUCAGAACGAACGCUGGCGGCGUGCCUAAAACAUGCAAGUCGUGCGAGAAAGUUCCGCAAGGGAUGAGUAAAGCGGCGAACGGGUGAGUAACACGUAAGCAAUCUGCCCUUUAAAUCUGGGAUAACUCUGCUAACGCGGGGCUAAUACCGGAUGUGAUCCAGAUUCCGCAUGGCGACUGGAUUAAAGGUGACCUCUACUUGUAAGUUACCGUUUAUGGAUGAGCUUGCGUCCCAUUAGCUAGUUGGUGAGGUAACGGCCCACCAAGGCUGUGAUGGGUAGCCGGCCUGAGAGGGUGUACGGCCACAUUGGAACUGAGAUACGGUCCAGACUCCUACGGGAGGCAGCAGUUGGGAAUUUUGGGCAAUGGACGAAAGUCUGACCCAGCAACGCCGCGUGAGGGAUGAAGGUCUUCGGAUUGUAAACCUCUGUUGAGUGGGAAAAAAAGCUUUGGAGCUAAUCUGCCAAGGCCUGAUGGUACCAUUCGAGGAAGCACCGGCUAACUACGUGCCAGCAGCCGCGGUAAUACGUAGGGUGCAAGCGUUGUUCGGAAUUACUGGGCGUAAAGGGAGCGUAGGCGGAAUUGUAAGUUAGGAGUUUAAUUCAUGGGCUUAACCCAUGGCCUGCUUUUAAUACUGCAGUUCUUGAGUAUGGGAGAGGGUAAUGGAAUUCCAGGUGUAGCGGUGGAAUGCGUAGAUAUCUGGAAGAACACCAGUAGCGAAGGCGGUUACCUGGCCCAAUACUGACGCUGAGGCUCGAAAGCUAGGGGAGCAAACAGGAUUAGAUACCCUGGUAGUCCUAGCCG